AAGAUAGAACACCCCGUCUCCCUCUUCCGUCUUCCCUACCUCUGGAAGCCGCCGUUCUCCUCUCGUCGAGAGCGUCGCUCUCUACCCCGCCUCUCCUCGACUGGUGCGGCGUGGAGAUCCAUCAGGGGCUUGGGAUCGGUUCCUUCUUUUGCCGCUGGCUGUUUGGGCACCAAGGUGUGGGGAAUUGGUGACCAACUGUAACGAUGUCCGUGGCCGCCGGUGUAAGUGAUGCGGCCAUCGCGGUGCGCGACAAGCUCCGCGGCAAGAUUGGCCAGACCAAAGUCAAGCGGUACUGGCCAGGAAAGGCGCCUGAGUGGGCUGACGAUGCCGAAGAGGACAUAGACCUCCGGACGGCACGGGUCUCCCUUGAUAAGGCAUUCCCAAAGGAUGAAGAUGGUGACAUCCCUACAAAGGAUGACCGCCGGCUCCGGCGUCUCGCACAAACCCGCGAGAACAAGGAGGAGCUGAGGGCCGAUCAUCGCCGCAUAAGGCAGGCUGAGAUUGUGUCAACUGUUGAGGAGCAGAAUGAGAGGCAGGAAGCUGAUAUUGACGAGGAGGACGAGGAGGCCCAGGAGGAGAGGAGGAGGAGGAUACGGGAGAGGCAGCUCUUAAGGGAGCAGGAGGAGCUACUUCCUCAGGAAGAUGAGGAACCGGUGGAGGAUGAGGAGUCAGAGGAAUCUGAGUAUGAGACGGACUCUGAGGAUGAGCAGACGGGCAUGGCCAUGGUGAAACCUGUCUUCAUUCCAAAGUCACAGAGAGACACCAUUGCGGAGCGUGAACGGCUGGAGGAGGAGGAGCGCCAGCUUGAGGAGCUGGUCAAGAAGAAGCUGGAGGCUAGGAAGAUUGAGACUAGGCAGAUUGUGGUUGAAGAGAUUAAAAAGGAGGAGCACAUUGAGAAGGCGUUGAAUGAAGAGGCCAACAUUGAGGAUGUUGACACAGAUGAUGAGUUGAAUGAAGCAGAAGAGUAUGAAUCAUGGAAGAAUAGAGAAAUAACAAGAAUUAAGAGGGACAGGGAGGAAAGAGAUGCAAGGUUGAAGGAGAAGGAGGAGAUUGAGAAGGUCAGGAAUAUGACCGAGGAGGAGCGUAGAGAAUGGGAGCGGAAGAAUCCAAAGCUGCUUCGGCAGACCAAACAAAAGUGGAAGUUUAUGCAAAAGUAUUACCACAAAGGUGCCUUCUUCCAGGAAAGUGCUGAUGAUGUUAUUCAGUCAGCUGGUAAAGAGGAUAUCUACACCCGCGAUUUCUCUGAACCUACUGGGGAAGAUAAGAUGGACAAGAGCAUCCUGCCCAAGGUCAUGCAAGUUAAACACUUUGGGCGCAGUGGCAGAACAAAGUGGACACAUCUUGUUAAUGAGGAUACUACAGAUUGGAAUGCACCAUGGGCUACAAAUGGGCCUCUCCGAGCAAAAUAUAAUGCAAAAAUGGCAGGCAUGAAUGCACCUAUUGCUAAACCAAAGGGGAGUAAGAAGCUGAAGGAUUGGGAUGCAAAAUGAGAUGCUGGCUUGACCUGGUAGGCUGGGAGGCUGGUCCAUGAUCAGCUUUUAGCUCUGAAAGUUGUGGCAAUGAGCCUUAUGCAAUGCAACGUGACAGGUCGAAGUGAUAAGAAACUAACUACUCGGGUGAUCAGAUUUGAAUUUUGUUAGAUUUUCCUGUCAGCUUACUGAUGCGUACAGCUGUUAGUGUUAUACUUUAUGCGUUCUCCAAACAAUGAGAGCGGGGGAGAGUAGUGCUUGAUUGAAUUGCUUCAGCAGACAUAGAAUGAUAUUUCUGUGCUGCGAUAAUAGAGUGAAUUGAUUAAGUUGUAUGCUAAUGGGGCUGAAUUGAACUCAAUCAGAUUCAGAUAUACAUGAGUUAUCAUACUCAUCUGCACCUAGGACUUUGAAAAUUGCAUUUAAUUGAACUAUGUAGCAGGCAUAGGAGUACGGGUAGCCUUCUGGCACAGGUCAAUGUUUCAGUUCUGUCUCUUUCUACAUGGGCCCUGUUUGGUUCCGCUCAUAAGCGGUUAUAGGUGAAAAAAAUGUGAAAAAUCCCACCCAAGUUUAUGGAAAUUGAAUAAUGUGAGCCACUCCAUUAUUUGGUGUUUCCGUGGGCUUUUGGUGGUCAGACAUGUUUGCAUAUUCAGAAACUCCAUAAACUUAAAGGCUAGUCAUUCGUUGAAAAUUCCCAAGCUAGGUAGCUAGUACAGCAGACUCUGAGUGCUUGCGGCAACAUUGGGGAAAAUUAAACCACCCUCCGGUAUCCUUCUCCAUCCGCAUUUUGUGGCCUCGCAAAGCUCUCCCAUACGGACAAGUGGCAAAGCACGGCUGGAAGUGGCGCGUGCAGCCUGGACGCCUGGCAGCAUCAGAGCUCAUUAAAACUUUUGGGGAGCCUGCUUUUGAGCAGUACAGGUCAGUUGAUUUGGCUCCCCUCCGUUUCUCAAAAUUGACACUUGGUACUGUUACCCCUCAGUUUACUGUGGAUAGAAAUACAUGUGAAGCAGAACAUCAUUCUUGGAAUUUCAAUUUAUCAGGCAAUGUUGGUUAUACACAUGUUCUUUUGAGCUGGAGAUUGUUAGGUGUUCAGAUUGCUGAAUAGAGCUGAUAAGAAGAGAUUGUCAGUUAUGCUUCCAGACCACAGGUCGACCCUGAAUGCGAUGGGAGUGACGAGCUGCUGAGUUGAAGUGGAACAACGACUACUUCGUUGAUCUGGGGCUGCAAGUUGCUCCUUUCUAUGCUUGAGCUGGAGGGACCGGUGAGGCAAACAAUGUGGCUGCACGAAAACAUGCCACAUGGUUUUGCCACUGCCAACUGCAUUCUGUCCUUGUUAUCAAACACUUAUCCUUGAUCUAUCCAUGUUGCUUGAAAGGGAAAUAUGAGCAGGUUUGAUCGAUUCAGUAUUGUCCAGCGGCCGUGCUUUCUUUGUAUCUUUGAUUGGAACAAUAGAGACGAUGAAGGCAACGCCAACACCAGGCCACCAGCACCAGUAACAGUGGAUAAUAAUACCCUGCAUUUUCAUAUCGACU
Molecule: RNA transcript, 2998 nt
Organism: Panicum hallii
Lineage: Eukaryota; Viridiplantae; Streptophyta; Magnoliopsida; Poales; Poaceae
Gene name: microfibrillar-associated protein 1-like
Exons: 7
Source: RefSeq, a predicted model, not a curated record